Molecule: ribosomal RNA, 710 nt
Filed under: Cryobacterium psychrotolerans
Lineage: Bacteria; Bacillati; Actinomycetota; Actinomycetes; Micrococcales; Microbacteriaceae
Description: bacterial SSU rRNA
Rfam family: Bacterial small subunit ribosomal RNA
Source: RNAcentral
CUUGCUCUUCGGAUUAGUGGCGAACGGGUGAGUAACACGUGAGCAAUCUGCCCUUGACUCUGGGAUAAGCGUUGGAAACGACGUCUAAUACCGGAUACGACCUUGGAAGGCAUCUUCUGGGGUGGAAAGAAUUUUGGUCAGGGAUGAGCUCGCGGCCUAUCAGCUAGUUGGUGAGGUAAUGGCUCACCAAGGCGACGACGGGUAGCCGGCCUGAGAGGGUGACCGGCCACACUGGGACUGAGACACGGCCCAGACUCCUACGGGAGGCAGCAGUGGGGAAUAUUGCACAAUGGGCGAAAGCCUGAUGCAGCAACGCCGCGUGAGGGACGACGGCCUUCGGGUUGUAAACCUCUUUUAGUAGGGAAGAAGCGAAAGUGACGGUACCUGCAGAAAAAGCACCGGCUAACUACGUGCCAGCAGCCGCGGUAAUACGUAGGGUGCAAGCGUUGUCCGGAAUUAUUGGGCGUAAAGAGCUCGUAGGCGGUUUGUCGCGUCUGCUGUGAAAACCCGAGGCUCAACCUCGGGCCUGCAGUGGGUACGGGCAGACUAGAGUGCGGUAGGGGAGAUUGGAAUUCCUGGUGUAGCGGUGGAAUGCGCAGAUAUCAGGAGGAACACCAAUGGCGAAGGCAGAUCUCUGGGCCGUAACUGACGCUGAGGAGCGAAAGCAUGGGGAGCGAACAGGAUUAGAUACCCUGGUAGUCCAUGCCGUA